This 423-nucleotide ribosomal RNA is filed under the name uncultured bacterium. Its description in RNAcentral is "bacterial SSU rRNA". It matches the Rfam family "Bacterial small subunit ribosomal RNA", at positions 917 to 1344 of the family's 1533-position model. The record is from RNAcentral.
GGGCCCGCACAAGCGGUGGAGCAUGUGGUUUAAUUCGAUGCAACGCGAAGAACCUUACCAGGGCUUGACAUACUACAAAUUCUUUUGAAAAAGAGAAGUGCCUUCGGGAAUGUAGAUACAGGUGGUGCAUGGCUGUCGUCAGCUCGUGUCGUGAGAUGUUGGGUUAAGUCCCGCAACGAGCGCAACCCUUAUUUUUAGUUACCAAUUCGUUGGAUUUUUUAGAAAGACUGCCGGUGACAAACCGGAGGAAGGUGAGGAUGACGUCAAGUCAGCAUGCCCCUUAUGUCCUGGGCUACACACGUGCUACAAUGGUUAAGACAAAGAGUCGCAAACUCGUGAGGGUAAGCUAAUCUACUAAACUUAGCCUAAGUUCAGAUUGUAGGCUGCAACUCGCCUACAUGAAGUUGGAAUCGCUAGUAAUCG